UUGACUGAGUGGCGGACGGGUGAGUAACGCGUGGGUAACCUGCCUCAUACAGGGGGAUAACAGUUAGAAAUGACUGCUAAUACCGCAUAAGACCACAGUACCGCAUGGUACAGGGGUAAAAACUCCGGUGGUAUGAGAUGGACCCGCGUCUGAUUAGGUAGUUGGUGGGGUAACGGCCUACCAAGCCUUCGAUGGAUAGGGGUUCUGAGAGGAAGGUCCCCCACAUUGGAACUGAGACACGGUCCAA
This 247-nucleotide ribosomal RNA is filed under the name uncultured bacterium. Its description in RNAcentral is "partial 16S ribosomal RNA". It matches the Rfam family "Bacterial small subunit ribosomal RNA", at positions 87 to 334 of the family's 1533-position model. The record is from RNAcentral.